AUCCAAGAUGGCGGCCAGCAGGAGGCUGAUGAAGGAGCUUGAAGAAAUCCGCAAAUGUGGGAUGAAAAACUUCCGUAACAUCCAGGUUGAUGAAGCUAAUUUAUUGACUUGGCAAGGGCUUAUUGUUCCUGGCAACCCUGCAUAUGAUAAGGGGGCCUUCAGAAUCGAAAUCAACUUUCCAGCAGAGUACCCAUUCAAACCACGGAAGAUCACAUUUAAAACAAAGAUCUAUCACCCGAACAUCGACGAAAAGGGGCAGGUCUGUCUGCCAGUAAUUAGCGCUGAAAACUGGAAGCCAGCAACCAAAACCGACCAAGUAAUCCAGUCCCUCAUAGCACUGGUGAAUGACCCCCAGCCCGAG
Mandrillus leucophaeus (drill) is the source of this 361-nucleotide RNA transcript. It is a transcript of the gene named ubiquitin-conjugating enzyme E2 L3 pseudogene, with no coding region annotated. NCBI's taxonomy places the organism in Eukaryota, Metazoa, Chordata, Mammalia, Primates, Cercopithecidae. The record is from RefSeq and is a predicted model, not a curated record. The transcript has a single exon.